AGCAGCCGCGGUAAUUCCAGCUCCAAUAGCGUAUAUUAAAGUUGUUGCAGUUAAAAAGCCCGUAGUUGAAUUUCGGGAUUAAUAUGUUGGUCGUGCCUUGGUACGUACUGGCAUUAUUGAUUCCUACCUUCUGAAGAACCUCGAUGUCAUUAAUUUGGUGUCUUGGGGAAUCAGGACCGUUACUUUGAAAAAAUUAGAGUGUUUAAAGCAGGCUCGCGCUUGAAUACAUUAGCAUGGAAUAAUGAAAUAGGACGUUUGAUUCUAUUUUGUUGGUUUCUAGGAUCGACGUAAUAAUUAAUAGGGAUAGUUGGGGGCAUUAGUAUUCAAUUGUCAGAGGUGAAAUUCUUGGAUUUAUUGAAGACUGACUACUGCGAAAGCAUUUGCCAAGGAUGUUUUCAUUAAUCAAGAACGAAAGUUAGGGGGUCGAAGACGAUCAGAUACCGUCGUAGUCUUAACCAUAAACUAUGCCGACUAGGGAUCGGAUGAUGUUAAUUUUUAAUGACUCAUUCGGCGCCUUACG
Molecule: ribosomal RNA, 520 nt
Filed under: uncultured Glomus
Lineage: Eukaryota; Fungi; Glomeromycota; Glomeromycetes; Glomerales; Glomeraceae
Description: SSU rRNA
Rfam family: Eukaryotic small subunit ribosomal RNA
Source: RNAcentral